Molecule: ribosomal RNA, 326 nt
Filed under: uncultured bacterium
Lineage: Bacteria
Description: bacterial SSU rRNA
Rfam family: Bacterial small subunit ribosomal RNA
Source: RNAcentral
GACGAACGCUGGCGGCGUGCCUAACACAUGCAAGUCGAACGGAGAACUUGAGGAAUGCGACUUCGGUCAAAUGAAACUUGUUCUUAGUGGCGGACGGGUGAGUAACACGUGAGCAACCUGCCUUUCAGAGGGGAAUAACGGCUGGAAACGGUCGCUAAUACCGCAUGAUAUACAUUUAAGGCAUCUUAGAUGUAUCAAAGAUUUUAUCGCUGAGAGAUGGGCUCGCGUCUGAUUAGCUAGUUGGCGGGGUAACGGCCCACCAAGGCGACGAUCAGUAGCCGGUCUGAGAGGAUGAACGGCCACAUUGGGACUGAGAUACGGCCCAG